CUUACUUAUAUUUCCUCGAAGAAUUUUAAAAUUAACGAUUAUCAAUAUAUAUUAUUACUGUGUUCUAUUCUAACCUUAUAUCGAUACAUACAAUGAAAAAUAUUUAACUAAUCAAUUUACAUUAAUCGAUACAAAUAAAAUUAUACGAUAUAACCAAUUAAUUUUCACUAAAUGAAAGAUAAAAAGAAUCAUUUUUCAAGGUAUAAAUGACUAAAUGUCUCAUAGUGUGUACAAGAUAUUUACCAAUGUUCCGUGUAACGAAACGUCACAUUCCAAGUCACAGAAUGGUCAGAAUGUUUGCUUUUCCUCGUUCGACGAAUUUCACGAGCGUUGUUUUCACUCCGGGAAGUCGAGUGUAUGGAAAAAAAGGCAGCAAGGCAAGCAGCUAAGGCUUGACCGAAAGGUACUGGCGACGGUGCUUUUAAAGCUGUACCGCGUGUUUGUUUGCGGCCCGUGUUAAUUCGUCGUACAAAUAACCGGCGACGGCCCUCGGACCACGAACGAUUCGUAGCCGUUGCAAAUGAUCAGUUCCUCGCGGGCAAUACGUGUAACUGCAUUGCGUUUCACCGUUCCAUCGCGUGAUCUUUGAAAAAAGGCAAAUGAAUGCCUCUCGGUGUGCUGGGUGAAGUGAUGUCUUAAGCAGUGGAUGCUUCGUAUCGAAUACGCUAGUUGUUUGCGAUGGAUUAUCGAGUUCGUUCCGCAACGAAAAUACAUCGGAUUAUACGCAGCCAUUAUCCAUCGAAACACACUUGAAAUCGUGGAGAAGAACGAAACAAGUCAAUACGUGUGGAGGUUUACGACGUCGGGGUUGGAAAUCAACGAAGAGAACGGCCGCGUCGCAAUAGGGAGACCACUCGUGCUCGGGAGUGUCGAAUGAAUGAUACGCAAACAAUAUUGGAUCAUUUUGAAUCUGCCGGGACGAUCCACUCGCUAUGGCGUCAAUUCUCUUCCCGACGUUUGGAGAAAUCUUCUUUGAGAGUUGGCAUCUUGCGUCCUUUUUGAUCUUGGCCUUACGCGCCGCUCACCAUGAAACACCAUGGGCGUUUCAUAUCUCCUCGGGACCAGAUACCAACCGCGGUGCACCGGUGUUCUCUCUCUCCAACCAGCGGCCUCUAUGGGCGUUUUCAGCACCGUAGAAGGGAUUAAAUUUUCAAAGCGAGCGCCGAUUCCUCCUCGGUUCUGUGGCCGGAGGAACCGGAUAGGAACCGCUCUCGAGAAAAUGGCGACCGAGGAAC
Molecule: unclassified non-coding RNA, 1235 nt
Filed under: Apis florea (little honeybee)
Lineage: Eukaryota; Metazoa; Arthropoda; Insecta; Hymenoptera; Apidae
Description: homeobox protein abdominal-B, transcript variant X8
Source: RNAcentral